Molecule: long non-coding RNA, 583 nt
Organism: Gymnogyps californianus (California condor)
Lineage: Eukaryota; Metazoa; Chordata; Aves; Accipitriformes; Cathartidae
Exons: 4
Source: RefSeq, a predicted model, not a curated record
GGGUGGUGAGUGGAUGGUUUAGGGUUUUUAUGCUGUCUAUAAGGCUUCACUCAUCAGUCAGGAUAUCAAACAGCAGUCCCAGGAUGCAGCCCAGGCCUGCCUCCCUCCUGCAGUGUGCGCAGCCGAGCCAUGGCCCUUCUAUGGCAGCUGCAUCUUGGAAGAUGGACCCCUCUGGCCUGGCUCCCCAGGAGGGUCUCCACAGGGGAGAAGACUGCAGCAUGUUUGCUCAACUGUUCCAUUCCCUGUUGUUUAUUAGUAAAAGUGAGCUCUGAAGCUGUGUCCUUUCUGCUCUUGCUGAAGAUUGUUGGUGUUUCUCAGACAUUAUAACUGGUUAGCGAUGAGAAACAGUGCAUGUCCUCCAAAUAUAGAGAAAGAUUGCAAACUAAAAAAACCCACCAGCCAUCAACUCCAGAAUGCAAGAAAGUACUUGACAACGUACAUUUUAUCAACAGAAUGAAAUUAGAUACCUGUCAAAAUGCAUUUGUCCUCAAAAUAACUAUUCAUAUAUUUCAUUUUCCUGCAUAAAUAGAUAUUCAGCUGCUCUCUUCUGUCUGUCAUUUGCUACUCACAAUCCAGCACUGAC